GGGGAUGAUCGGCUUCGACGAUCGAUCGCGUCCGUUCGCGCGGCGCGAGCUCCGAUGACUCGUAAAUCCGCCGGAAACUUCGAAAUGCCAACAUCAAGUCGCCGUAUUUCUCGGCCAAUGAUCUAGCAUUCGCCCUCGCUUAAGUAGGGCGCGUCUAUUCACGGGGAUCCUUACCGUGAUGUGAUGUCAUAACCUGGAUGUAGGGUGGCGCGGCUUCUCACUGCACUUUCCGAAACCUAGAGAUCGCCUGCGCGCGUUUUGUCAUGUUUUCAAACGCGCAGGCCAGACUUCAAACUUGACUACCGUCGUAGAACCGUCCGGUUCGCUUCGAUCGCACCCGGGUUCGAUUCCCGGCAUCUCCACUU
RNAcentral lists this transfer-messenger RNA (365 nucleotides) under Patescibacteria group bacterium. It matches the Rfam family "transfer-messenger RNA". From Rfam's summary of the family: Bacterial tmRNA, also known as 10Sa RNA or SsrA, is named for its dual tRNA and mRNA-like properties. Its role is to liberate the mRNA from a stalled ribosome. The record is from RNAcentral.